This 252-nucleotide ribosomal RNA is filed under the name uncultured bacterium. RNAcentral describes it as "partial 16S ribosomal RNA". It matches the Rfam family "Bacterial small subunit ribosomal RNA", at positions 524 to 776 of the family's 1533-position model. The record is from RNAcentral.
UACGAAGGGGCUAGCGUUGUUCGGAUUUACUGGGCGUAAAGCGCACGUAGGCGGAUUGGUCAGUUAGGGGUGAAAUCCUGGAGCUCAACUCCAGAACUGCCUUUAAUACUGCCAGUCUCGAGUCCGGAAGAGGUAAGUGGAACUCCUAGUGUAGAGGUGGAAUUCGUAGAUAUUAGGAAGAACACCAGUGGCGAAGGCGGCUUACUGGUCCGGUACUGACGCUGAGGUGCGAAAGCGUGGGGAGCAAACAGG